ACGGCGACAUCCUUAGGAGAAA
RNAcentral lists this microRNA (22 nucleotides) under Pristionchus pacificus. RNAcentral's name for it is "ppc-miR-8222-5p". The record is from miRBase by way of RNAcentral. Lineage: Eukaryota; Metazoa; Nematoda; Chromadorea; Rhabditida; Neodiplogasteridae.